AUGUCCCAUCCGUCCAUUCUGGCCGCCGCCAGCCACCUGAUCUCCUCCUCGUUUUUCGCGCGCUCCCAAUCGCGAGCCAGCCUCCAGAUCCACCCGCAGACUCCACCUUCUCCUCGAAUCCUCGCCCAGCCGCUCGAGUCUCUGCUCGUUGACCCUGCGCUCGGCCGUGCAGCCGCCUCGGACCGUGACCACAGGAGCAGGAGCUCCUCUGCUCGCGCACCAGCGCCUGUCCCUUGGUACCUCCUUCCUCCCGUCCUCGAGCUUGCCGGAGGCCUCCGAUGCCGCCGGAGCAUCAGCAGCCAACAAGAUGAGCACCUGCCGCGCCCCCUUUCUCCGGUCCUUCCGCUUCUUCCCGUCCCUCUCUUACGUUCUCUCACUUCGGCUCAUAUCUCUCUCUCUGUCCCUAUACUUGCUGUAGCAGGAGAUCGCCAUAGCCGCUGUUUGUCCUCGUCCCCGCCCUUCGGAUUCGCGCCGAUCGGCCUCCUCCGCGACCUCCCCUUCCGACUGGAGUCCCUCGCCGCUGCAACUCCCUCGAACAAGAUCGGGGUUGAGCCUCCCGCUCCUGCUGUCCUCGUUGACCCGCGCCCGUCUGCCUCGGAGCCGUCCUCCACCGCUCCUCUGCAUCGCUCGCCCACGCCAUCUUCAGUGUCACCGCCGCCAUCUUCUUCUUGGAGUCCCGCCAAGUCCCUGGACUACCUUCUCUCGCGCGCCGGUCAAGGAUCCGGUCUGGAUCGACCUCCCACGCCCAAGACCGCGCCGCCGGCCCUGCAGUCCCGCGUCAAGUCCCCUGCUUCCUCUGCGUCGAGGACGCGUCGUCCCCGCGUUGACCGAUCCCAAACGCCUCUGCGUCCAGGAGCAGCACAGCCCUCCAAGGCCGGCCCAGGCACCAAGGCCCAGCCGCCCGCAAUACGCACCGGCGCCUCCUUCUUCCCCUCCAGAUCUAGCCUGCCCGAGCCGCUGCACUGA
RNAcentral lists this ribosomal RNA (966 nucleotides) under Triticum aestivum (bread wheat). Its description in RNAcentral is "partial small subunit ribosomal RNA". Lineage: Eukaryota; Viridiplantae; Streptophyta; Magnoliopsida; Poales; Poaceae. The record is from RNAcentral.